This 501-nucleotide ribosomal RNA is filed under the name uncultured bacterium. RNAcentral describes it as "partial 16S ribosomal RNA". It matches the Rfam family "Bacterial small subunit ribosomal RNA", at positions 30 to 523 of the family's 1533-position model. The record is from RNAcentral.
AUUGAACGCUGGCGGAAUGCUUUACACAUGCAAGUCGAACGGCAGCACGGGUGCUUGCACCUGGUGGCGAGUGGCGAACGGGUGAGUAACAUAUCGGAACGUACCCAGUAAUGGGGGAUAACUAACCGAAAGGUUAGCUAAUACCGCAUACGCCCUGAGGGGGAAAGCGGGGGAUCGAAAGACCUCGCGUUAUUGGAGCGGCCGAUAUCUGAUUAGCUAGUUGGUGAGGUAAGGGCUCACCAAGGCGACGAUCAGUAGCGGUCUGAGAGGAUGAUCUGCCACACUGGAACUGAGACACGGUCCAGACUCCUACGGGAGGCAGCAGUGGGGAAUUUUGGACAAUGGGGGAAACCCUGAUCCAGCCAUUCCGCGUGAGUGAAGAAGGCCUUCGGGUUGUAAAGCUCUUUCGGCAGGGAAGAAACGGUUCUGGAUAAUACCCGGAGCUAAUGACGGUACCUGAAGAAGAAGCACCGGCUAACUACGUGCCAGCCGCCGCAGUAA